RNAcentral lists this long non-coding RNA (1490 nucleotides) under Brassica rapa (field mustard). Its description in RNAcentral is "long non-coding RNA (BRAP_LNC007479)". The record is from RNAcentral. Lineage: Eukaryota; Viridiplantae; Streptophyta; Magnoliopsida; Brassicales; Brassicaceae.
UAGAGAGAGAAGGACGGCCCAACCCUAGAGAGAGGCGGCUUAGAGAGAAAAGGAAACCGUCUUUCAUUUUCCUUAAACUUGUUAUCUUUCUAUUAUUAUGUAUUAGUAGUUUUCGUAAUCCUAGUAAGUUUAGGUUUUGGAUACUUUCCAUUUUACUUAUCUUGUAAUCCUUAUAUAAAGGAAUCCCUUUGAUAAUUAAUAAUAACACAAAAAUAUUCAGUCUCUAAACUCUCUAAUUAUAACUGACUGAGAAUAUAUAUGAUUUGCGUCUAAGAUAUAUUCAACUUAUUGUCACAAAAAACUUAAUAAAAAAAAUAUAUACUUUGUUUUAAGGACAUUAAAAAUUACCUUAAAAAUUUUAACAUUUUAAAAAAAAAUAUGAAUCAAUAAUAUUAAUAUAAAAUUUUAUCCAAAAAACUCAGCACUAAAUAAAUGCAUAAACAAAAAAACAAACAAACCCUAAACCCUAUAAUCUUAAGCAUUAUUCUAAACCAAACCUUAAACCCAACCUAAACCAAACGCUAAACCAUUCUUACUACCUAAACCCUAAAUUCUACCUAACCCUAGACUCUACCUAAACCUAGACCUUAACCUAUCUAAUCCUAAACCCUACAUAAACCUAACCCUAAUCCCUAAACCCUUCAUACUACCUAAACCCUAAACCUACCUAACCCUAAACGCAAACCCUACCUAACCCUAAACCCUUCAUACUACCUAAACCCUAAACCUACCUAACCCUAAACGUAAACCCUACCUAACCCUAAACCCUACCUAACCCUAAACCCUUCCUAAUCCUAAAACCCUACCUAAAACCUAACCCUAAACCUAAACCCUACCUACCCUAAACUCUACCUAACCCUAAACCCUACCUAACCCUAACCCUACAUAACCCUAAACCCUACUAACCCUACCUAACAUAAACCCUACCUAACCUAAAACCUUUCUAACCCUAAACCCUUUCUAGCCCUAAAACCUACCUAACCCUAAACCCUACCUAACCCUAAACCCUAUCUAACCCUAAACCCUACCAAACCCUAAACCCUACCUAACCCUAAACCCUACCUACCCUAAACCCUACCUAACCCUAAACCCUACCUAACCCUAAACCCCUUCUAACCCUAAACCUGACCUAACCCUAAACCAUGCCUAACCCUAAACCAUUCUAACCCUAAACCCUACCUAAUUCUAAACCCUACCUAACCUAAACUCUACCUAACCCUAAACCCUACCUAACCCUAACCCUACAUAACCCUAAACCCUACUAACCCUACCUAACAUAAACCCUACCUAACCUAAAACCUUUCUAACCCUAAACCCUUUCUAGCCCUAAAACCUACCUAACCCUAAACCCUACCUAACCCUAAACCCUAUCUAACCCUAAACCCAACCUAACCCUAAACCCUACCUACCCUAAACCCUUUCUAACCUUAAACCCUACCUAACCCUAAACCCCUUCUAACCCUAAACCUGACCUAACCCUAAACCAUGCC